RNAcentral lists this ribosomal RNA (739 nucleotides) under uncultured bacterium. Its description in RNAcentral is "bacterial SSU rRNA". It matches the Rfam family "Bacterial small subunit ribosomal RNA", at positions 524 to 1257 of the family's 1533-position model. The record is from RNAcentral.
UACGAGGGGUGCUAGCGUUAUUCGGAAUUACUGGGCGUAAAGGGUGCGUAGACGGCGCAUUAAGUCUGUUGUUAAAUCCUCCGGCCUAACCGGAGAUCAGCGAUAGAAACUAGUGUGCUAGAGGAUGGAAGAGAGAAGUGGAAUUCUCGGAGUAGCGGUAAAAUGCGUAGAUCUCGAGAGGAACACCAAUGGCGAAGGCAGCUUCUUGGUCCAUUCCUGACGUUGAGGCACGAAAGCGUGGGGAGCAAACAGGAUUAGAUACCCUGGUAGUCCACGCCGUAAACGAUGAUCACUAGAUGUUAGUCCCGUUUUACGGGAUUAGUGUCGUAGCUAACGCGUUAAGUGAUCCGCCUGGGGAGUACGGUCGCAAGACUAAAACUUAAAGGAAUUGACGGGGGCCCGCACAAGCGGUGGAACAUGUGGUUUAAUUCGACACUACGCGAGGAACCUUACCUAGGCUUGACAUGCUUCUGACACCCGUAGAAACACGGUUUUUCGAGUUUACUCGAACAGUUGCACAGGUGCUGCAUGGCUGUCGUCAGCUCGUGUCGUGAGAUGUUGGGUUAAGUCCUUUAACGAGCGCAACCCUUUCUAUCAGUUGCUACUCACUUUGUGAGGCACUCUGAUGGUACUGCCUGGGAAACCAGGAGGAAGGUGGGGACGACGUCAAGUCAUCAUGGUCCUUAUGCCUAGGGCUACACACGUGUUACAAUGGCCAGCACAAUGGGUCGCUAGUCCC